RNAcentral lists this unclassified non-coding RNA (241 nucleotides) under uncultured fungus. RNAcentral describes it as "partial contains 5.8S ribosomal RNA, internal transcribed spacer 2, and large subunit ribosomal RNA". The record is from RNAcentral. Lineage: Eukaryota; Fungi.
AACGCACAUUGCGCCCCUUGGUAUUCCAUGGGGCAUGCCUGUUCGAGCGUCAUUUGUACUCUCAAGCUCUGCUUGGUGUUGGGUGCUGUCUAGCUACUAGACUCGCCUUAAAAGAAUUGGCAGCCAGUGUAUUGGUCUUGAGCGCAGCACAAUUUGCACUCUUGUCAGCUACAUCUGGCAUCCAGAAGCCUUUUACAUCACGCUUGACCUCGGAUCAGGUAGGGAUACCCGCUGAACUUAA